This 465-nucleotide ribosomal RNA is filed under the name uncultured bacterium. RNAcentral's name for it is "partial 16S ribosomal RNA". It matches the Rfam family "Bacterial small subunit ribosomal RNA", at positions 338 to 795 of the family's 1533-position model. The record is from RNAcentral.
CCUACGGGAGACAGCAGUGGGGAAUAUUGCGCAAUGGGCGAAAGCCUGACGCAGCGACGCCGCGUGAGGGAUGAAGGUCUUCGGAUCGUAAACCUCUGUCAGCAGGGAAGAACGGUCACUGUGCUAAUCAGCAGUGAAUUGACGGUACCUGCAAAGGAAGCACCGGCUAACUACGUGCCAGCAGCCGCGGUAAUACGGAGGGUGCGAGCGUUAAUCGGAAUUACUGGGCGUAAAGCGCUCGUAGGCGGUAUGUCAAGUCAAGGGUGAAAUCCCCGGGCUCAACGUGGGAACUGCCUUUGAAACUGGCAAACUGGAGUGUGUGAGAGGUAAGUGGAAUUCCAGGUGUAGGAGUGAAAUGCGUAGAUAUCUGGAGGAACAUCAGUGGCGAAGGCGACUAUCUGGCACAUAACUGACGCUGAGGAGCGAAAGCGUGGGUAGCAAACAGGAUUAGAUACCCUUGUAGUC